This 391-nucleotide ribosomal RNA is filed under the name uncultured bacterium. RNAcentral's name for it is "bacterial SSU rRNA". It matches the Rfam family "Bacterial small subunit ribosomal RNA", at positions 235 to 618 of the family's 1533-position model. The record is from RNAcentral.
GGCUGAUUAGCUAGUUGGUGGGGUAAAGGCCUACCAAGGCGACGAUCAGUAGCUGGUNUGAGAGGACGACCAGCCACACUGGGACUGAGACACGGCCCAGACUCCUACGGGAGGCAGCAGUGGGGAAUUUUGGACAAUGGGCGAAAGCCUGAUCCAGCAAUGCCGCGUGUGUGAAGAAGGCCUUCGGGUUGUAAAGCACUUUUGUCCGGAAAGAAAUCCCUGGCUCUAAUACAGUCGGGGGAUGACGGUACCGGAAGAAUAAGCACCGGCUAACUACGUGCCAGCAGCCGCGGUAAUACGUAGGGUGCGAGCGUUAAUCGGAAUUACUGGGCGUAAAGCGUGCGCAGGCGGUCUGUUAAGACAGAUGUGAAAUCCCCGGGCUCAAACUGGG